AGCGUACACGGUGGAUGCCCUGGCAGUCAGAGGCGAUGAAGGACGUGCUAAUCUGCGAAAAGCGUCGGUAAGGUGAUAUGAACCGUUACAGCCGGCGAUGUCCGAAUGGGGAAACCCAGUGCAAUUCGUUGCACUAUCGUUAACUGAAUACAUAGGUUAACGAGGCGAACCGGGGGAACUGAAACAUCUAAGUACCCCGAGGAAAAGAAAUCAACCGAGAUUCCCCCAGUAGCGGCGAGCGAACGGGGAGCAGCCCAGAGUCUGAAUCAGCUUGUGUGUUAGUGGAACGGUCUGGAAAGUCCGACGGUACAGGGUGAUAGUCCCGUACACCAAAAUGCACAGGUUGUGAACUCGAAGAGUAGGGCGGGACACGUGGUAUCCUGUCUGAAUAUGGGGGGACCAUCCUCCAAGGCUAAAUACUCCUGACUGACCGAUAGUGAACCAGUACCGUGAGGGAAAGGCGAAAAGAACCCCGGCGAGGGGAGUGAAAAAGAACCUGAAACCGUGUACGUACAAGCAGUGGGAGCACCUUCGGGUGUGACUGCGUACCUUUUGUAUAAUGGGUCAGCGACUUAUAUUCUGUAGCAAGGUUAACCGUAUAGGGGAGCCGCAGGGAAACCGAGUCUUAACUGGGCGUUAAGUUGCAGGGUAUAGACCCGAAACCCGGUGAUCUAGCCAUGGGCAGGUUGAAGGUUGGGUAACACUAACUGGAGGACCGAACCGACUAAUGUUGAAAAAUUAGCGGAUGACUUGUGGCUGGGGGUGAAAGGCCAAUCAAACCGGGAGAUAGCUGGUUCUCCCCGAAAGCUAUUUAGGUAGCGCCUCGUGAACUCAUCUUCGGGGGUAGAGCACUGUUUCGGCUAGGGGGUCAUCCCGACUUACCAACCCGAUGCAAACUACGAAUACCGAAGAAUGUUAUCACGGGAGACACACGGCGGGUGCUAACGUCCGUCGUGAAGAGGGAAACAACCCAGACCGCCAGCUAAGGUCCCAAAGUCAUGGUUAAGUGGGAAACGAUGUGGGAAGGCACAGACAGCCAGGAUGUUGGCUUAGAAGCAGCCAUCAUUUAAAGAAAGCGUAAUAGCUCACUGGUCGAGUCGGCCUGCGCGGAAGAUGUAACGGGGCUAAACCAUGCACCGAAGCUGCGGCAGCGACGCUUAUGCGUUGUUGGGUAGGGGAGCGUUCUGUAAGCCGUUGAAGGUGGCCUGUGAGGGUUGCUGGAGGUAUCAGAAGUGCGAAUGCUGACAUAAGUAACGAUAAAGCGGGUGAAAAGCCCGCUCGCCGGAAGACCAAGGGUUCCUGUCCAACGUUAAUCGGGGCAGGGUGAGUCGACCCCUAAGGCGAGGCCGAAAGGCGUAGUCGAUGGGAAACAGGUUAAUAUUCCUGUACUUGGUGUUACUGCGAAGGGGGGACGGAGAAGGCUAUGUUAGCCGGGCGACGGUUGUCCCGGUUUAAGCAUGUAGGCGGAGGUUCCAGGUAAAUCCGGUACCUUUUAACGCUGAGGUGUGAUGACGAGGCACUACGGUGCUGAAGUAACAAAUGCCCUGCUUCCAGGAAAAGCCUCUAAGCAUCAGGUAACAUUAAAUCGUACCCCAAACCGACACAGGUGGUCAGGUAGAGAAUACCAAGGCGCUUGAGAGAACUCGGGUGAAGGAACUAGGCAAAAUGGUGCCGUAACUUCGGGAGAAGGCACGCUGGUGUGUAGGUGAAGUCCCUGCGGAUGGAGCUGAGACCAGUCGAAGAUACCAGCUGGCUGCAACUGUUUAUUAAAAACACAGCACUGUGCAAACACGAAAGUGGACGUAUACGGUGUGACGCCUGCCCGGUGCCGGAAGGUUAAUUGAUGGGGUUAUCCGUAAGGAGAAGCUCUUGAUCGAAGCCCCGGUAAACGGCGGCCGUAACUAUAACGGUCCUAAGGUAGCGAAAUUCCUUGUCGGGUAAGUUCCGACCUGCACGAAUGGCGUAAUGAUGGCCAGGCUGUCUCCACCCGAGACUCAGUGAAAUUGAACUCGCUGUGAAGAUGCAGUGUACCCGCGGCAAGACGGAAAGACCCCGUGAACCUUUACUAUAGCUUGACACUGAACAUUGAGCCUUGAUGUGUAGGAUAGGUGGGAGGCUUUGAAGCGUGGACGCCAGUCUGCGUGGAGCCAACCUUGAAAUACCACCCUUUAAUGUUUGAUGUUCUAACGUUGGCCCGUAAUCCGGGUUGCGGACAGUGUCUGGUGGGUAGUUUGACUGGGGCGGUCUCCUCCCAAAGAGUAACGGAGGAGCACGAAGGUUAGCUAAUCCUGGUCGGACAUCAGGAGGUUAGUGCAAUGGCAUAAGCUAGCUUGACUGCGAGCGUGACGGCGCGAGCAGGUGCGAAAGCAGGUCAUAGUGAUCCGGUGGUUCUGAAUGGAAGGGCCAUCGCUCAACGGAUAAAAGGUACUCCGGGGAUAACAGGCUGAUACCGCCCAAGAGUUCAUAUCGACGGCGGUGUUUGGCACCUCGAUGUCGGCUCAUCACAUCCUGGGGCUGAAGUAGGUCCCAAGGGUAUGGCUGUUCGCCAUUUAAAGUGGUACGCGAGCUGGGUUUAGAACGUCGUGAGACAGUUCGGUCCCUAUCUGCCGUGGGCGCUGGAGAAUUGAGGGGGGCUGCUCCUAGUACGAGAGGACCGGAGUGGACGCAUCACUGGUGUUCGGGUUGUCAUGCCAAUGGCACUGCCCGGUAGCUAAAUGCGGAAGAGAUAAGUGCUGAAAGCAUCUAAGCACGAAACUUGCCCCGAGAUGAGUUCU
RNAcentral lists this ribosomal RNA (2774 nucleotides) under human gut metagenome. Its description in RNAcentral is "bacterial LSU rRNA". It matches the Rfam family "Bacterial large subunit ribosomal RNA". The record is from RNAcentral.